GCAAGUACGGUGUCAAUGCGGUGAUUGCAAUUAAUAUGCGGAAUGCACACGCUGACAGUCUGUCUAGUCAGGAUCUGAAAUCUCACGCGCCGCAACCUCGCAAGCUGCAUUCGAAAAAUGGCCGGUUGAGAGUGUAGUAUGAGGGAGGGUUGAAUUAACAUAGUGUAGACGUAUGAAAUGCAUAGAGUAUAAGGAGGAAGAUAUGACGGAGAAGGACGGCCCCCCUGGACACAGACUGACGAUCAGGUACUGACAGCGUAGGGAGCAAAGCAGGAUUGAGAUAAACUGGUUGUGCACGCCUUGAACGACAUGGAGUUAGAGAUUGUGCCUCGGUUGUGUGGCUUCGGGAGCUAACGCUUUAAGUAAAUCGCCAGGGGAGUACGUGCGGAAGGUUAAAACUAAAUUGAAAUUAAAGGGGACCGCACGAGCGGUGGACCAUGGGUUUUAAUUGGGUGCAACGUGAAGAACAUUACAUACUCUUGACCUCCAGAGAAAUGGGCAUAGAUGGAUUGGUGCAUUCGGGAACUUUGAGACAGGUGCCGCAUGGCUGUAGUCAGCUUGUGUUCUGAAAUGUUGGGGUAAGUCCCGCAAUCAGCGCAACCGCGCUCCUUUGUUCCCAGGGGUUCGGCCGGGAACUCAAAGGAGAAGGCCAGUGAUAAACUGGAGGAAGGUGGGGAGGAGGUCAAGUCAUCAUGGCCCUUAGGCGUAGGGCUACACACCUCACACAAUGGCGCAUACAAAGAGAAGAGACCUCGCGAGAGCCAGCGGACCUCAUUAACUAAGUCGUAGUCCGGAUUGGAGUCUGCAACUCGACUCCAUGAAGUGGGAAUGGAUUGUAAUGGUAGAUCAGAUUGGUCCGGGGAAUACGUUCCCGGGCCUGGUCCACACCCCCGGUCACACCAUGGGCGUGGGUUUCAAAGGAACUAGGUAGCUUAACCCUUGGCAGGGCGUUCAUCACUAAGGCUCAGACACGGAGCGCGGCAAAAUAUUACUCUUUACU
This 1000-nucleotide ribosomal RNA is filed under the name Enterobacter cancerogenus. RNAcentral's name for it is "bacterial SSU rRNA". It matches the Rfam family "Bacterial small subunit ribosomal RNA", at positions 519 to 1533 of the family's 1533-position model. The record is from RNAcentral. Lineage: Bacteria; Pseudomonadati; Pseudomonadota; Gammaproteobacteria; Enterobacterales; Enterobacteriaceae.